GCAGUCGAACGAUGAACCACUUCGGUGGGGAUUAGUGGCGAACGGGUGAGUAACACGUGGGCAAUCUGCCCUGCACUCUGGGACAAGCCCUGGAAACGGGGUCUAAUACCGGAUACUGAUCAUCUUGGGCAUCCAAGGUGUUCGAAAGCUCCGGCGGUGCAGGAUGAGCCCGCGGCCUAUCAGCUUGUUGGUGAGGUAAUGGCUCACCAAGGCGACGACGGGUAGCCGGCCUGAGAGGGCGACCGGCCACACUGGGACUGAGACACGGCCCAGACUCCUACGGGAGGCAGCAGUGGGGAAUAUUGCACAAUGGGCGAAAGCCUGAUGCAGCGACGCCGCGUGAGGGAUGACGGCCUUCGGGUUGUAAACCUCUUUCAGCAGGGAAGAAGCGAAAGUGACGGUACCUGCAGAAGAAGCGCCGGCUAACUACGUGCCAGCAGCCGCGGUAAUACGUAGGGCGCGAGCGUUGUCCGGAAUUAUUGGGCGUAAAGAGCUCGUAGGCGGCUUGUCACGUCGGUUGUGAAAGCCCGGGGCUUAACCCCGGGUCUGCAGUCGAUACGGGCAGGCUAGAGUUCGGUAGGGGAGAUCGGAAUUCCUGGUGUAGCGGUGAAAUGCGCAGAUAUCAGGAGGAACACCGGUGGCGAAGGCGGAUCUCUGGGCCGAUACUGACGCUGAGGAGCGAAAGCGUGGGGAGCGAACAGGAUUAGAUACCCUGGUAGUCCACGCCGUAA
This 731-nucleotide ribosomal RNA is filed under the name Streptomyces sp. HXLW-R30. RNAcentral describes it as "bacterial SSU rRNA". It matches the Rfam family "Bacterial small subunit ribosomal RNA", at positions 57 to 805 of the family's 1533-position model. The record is from RNAcentral. Lineage: Bacteria; Bacillati; Actinomycetota; Actinomycetes; Kitasatosporales; Streptomycetaceae.